AUGAGUGGAGUACACCACAACAAGAUAAAAAUAAAACAAUGUUGUCUUCAAGGCACAAAUAAACAACCCCACCCUGGGACGAGAAAGAGUGAUCCCAAACCAAAAAAUAGCCUUAAACCACACAUCUCCGAUGAAAGUAAAAGAAACCAGGGUUACAAAGUGGCGUCACUCAAUAGUAUUCUGAUCAUAUAG
This is a non-coding RNA of Vicia faba (fava bean), 192 nucleotides long. The record is from the annotation of a GenBank genome assembly. NCBI's taxonomy places the organism in Eukaryota, Viridiplantae, Streptophyta, Magnoliopsida, Fabales, Fabaceae.